UACGUAGGGGGCUAGCGUUGUCCGGAAUCAUUGGGCGUAAAGAGCGUGUAGGCGGCCCGGUAAGUCCGCUGUGAAAGUCGGGGGCUCAACCCUCGAAUGCCGGUGGAUACUGUCGGGCUAGAGUGCGGAAGAGGCGAGUGGAAUUCCGUGUGUAGGCGUGAAAUGCGCAGAGUAUCAGGAGGAACACCGGUGGCGAAGGCGGAUCUCUGGGCCUUACCUGACGCUGAGGCGCGAAAGCUAGGGGAGCAAAACAGG
This 255-nucleotide ribosomal RNA is filed under the name uncultured bacterium. RNAcentral describes it as "partial 16S ribosomal RNA". It matches the Rfam family "Bacterial small subunit ribosomal RNA", at positions 524 to 776 of the family's 1533-position model. The record is from RNAcentral.